This 419-nucleotide long non-coding RNA is filed under the name Vigna radiata. RNAcentral's name for it is "long non-coding RNA (VRAD_LNC009565)". The record is from RNAcentral. Lineage: Eukaryota; Viridiplantae; Streptophyta; Magnoliopsida; Fabales; Fabaceae.
GGAUAUUAAAAUUUUUAUAUAAAUAUAUUAAAAAAAUGUCAAAUAUAUGAAAUAUAUUAGCCAUAAAUUAAAAUUUUAGAAGAAUAUCUUAAAUUAUAAAUUAAUUUAUAUAAAUAUAAAAAGAUGAAUUUAGGAGACAAAAUCCAUCCUAUACCGUUAAAGUCUGCCACUGCUAAAUAGACUUCAUAUUCCUUUUACACAGAAAAUUUUCAUAUGAAAUGUUACGUCUUACUUCAUACUUUUUCUUUUUAUAUAUAUAAAGGUUUUUUUUUUCUUUUUUAUUAUAUAUUACUAUAUCAAUCCAUCUUAGACAAAUAAGAACAAAAAUUAUUUCUAGGAAUUUUUUUUCCUUAUUUUUCAAGCAACUAUGUUCAUAAUAUAUUGCCUACAUUUGUUUAUUCCUUCUUACUCAUCCUUUU